AGCGGAAUUCGUGAGACCCAAAGAACGGGUUCUGCAGCUACAGAAACACCUAUGUUUCCUGUUUACCUGUUUCCUGUGUCUUGAAUAUUAAUUUGUGUCUGUAUAUGUGAGAUUGUUGACUCUUUUCUGUAUAUUUUUCUGCGUGGUUGUCUGUUCUUCCACAGUUGAUGAAGAGAUGAAGCUGACAGAUCACAAGAUGUGUAAGAAGAAGAAGGAUCUCUCUUCAUUU
This 229-nucleotide small RNA is filed under the name Bos taurus (domestic cattle). The record is from RNAcentral. Lineage: Eukaryota; Metazoa; Chordata; Mammalia; Artiodactyla; Bovidae.